GCACUUAUUAAGUGCUUGUUGGUUCAAAUACAAAGAACAGUGAGAUGAGUUAUUUUUUUUUUCAAUCUGCAUGGUACAGAGGAGAAAUCUCAAAUCCCAGCCCAUGGGCCAUGCUGACCUGAUUACAGACAGCCCUAUAAGGGUCUUGAAUGCUUUCUAACACAGUCCAUACGGGAUGCAGCCUCAAGAAAUGCUAUUAGACAAAGUAUAUCCUAGCAGCAGAAGCCCAGGCUUACAAAGCCAGAAACAGUCGGUUACCAGCAGACGUGUAUCUAUUGUCUCAUAGAUACAGCCUCACAGAGUCAGCUAAGGAGAGCCCUGGGAAAAGCCUAAAGAGACUAUCAAAAGAUAUUUCAGAAAGUGAUGUUAUAAACUAAUGAGUCAUACCUGACUGCACUCAUCUGUCUGUAGCAUAAAGAGAUCAUGGCUCUAGCAUCACAAGAUCAUCAACCUGCUCAUGGAAACCUGCUGAUAAUUCCUUCAGUGACUAUUAAACAAGUAGGCUGGAUUUUCUCUGACCAGUAAGUUUGAAGGGCAUGAUAGUUGUUUUCAAGUAUUUGAAGGGCUUUCAUAAGCACAAGAGACCAGAUUCGUUCUGCUCCACAAGACACAACUAGAAGCCUGGGCCAGGGAAGAGGAGGACAGAUUGGGGCAUGGUAUAAAGAAUAACUUACUAACAACCAGAGUUGCCCAAAAGUGGAAUGAGAUCCCCUUUACUGGGGAUCUUUCACUGGAUGCUGCAUGACUCCUUGGUGAUUGUAAAAGAGAUUUCCAUUCAGCCAUGAGUUAAACAAGAUGAUCUCUGAUGUCACUGUCCUAUCUAUCCCCAGGCC
RNAcentral lists this long non-coding RNA (833 nucleotides) under Phascolarctos cinereus (koala). Its description in RNAcentral is "lncRNA (ENSPCIG00000030333.2)". The record is from RNAcentral. Lineage: Eukaryota; Metazoa; Chordata; Mammalia; Diprotodontia; Phascolarctidae.